Molecule: long non-coding RNA, 1384 nt
Organism: Homo sapiens (human)
Lineage: Eukaryota; Metazoa; Chordata; Mammalia; Primates; Hominidae
Product: long intergenic non-protein coding RNA 1206
Source: Ensembl
GAUAGACUGGGCUGGGGCAACGCUGAUGAAAGGCAAAUUCCUGAGAGAAAAAUCACCCAGAUUUUUCAGUGCCUUCUCUAGCUUUCUAGAAGUUGUUAUGAGUGGACCUGACUACCUAGAGAGAGUAAUACAGAAGCUCCGUGCCGAUCACAGCUACCUCAUUACCAUGUUCCUCCAAGAUGGCCGCCCCUGAGGAGAAUCAUCAACUGGGCUUUACGGAAGAGAGAAAUCCAAACGACCAUCAGCAACAAAUGAAAGACUGAAGUUGAAAGGAAAUCCAUAAUUUUUGAAUGCUGGCCGAGGUCUGUGACCUCUGACUGAAUGGUUUCCAAGCUCCGAAUUCCUAGGUGAUGUUUUCAUUUGUUCACACUUGCUGAAGAAGGGAAAGGCUCUCUGAUUUACGUGUAAGCAAAACAAUCUAAACAGUAGGAUAAAAUCAUGUUGGAAUGGAGUUCUGUGUGGAUGCUCCUUUGAACCAAAUCAGUUCCACAACUGACCCUGUCAGGGACAUAUAAAUUUAGCAUUUUGGUGUGGAUACAGAAGACGAGAUUAACACAGAUCAAGUAACAUGGAAAUAAAAAAGGAGACAAUGCUGGAUGAUACAGGGGCAGCCAACAAGAGGAGAAAACCCAAGCAUUGGCAAAUGCCUCAUUAUCCAAAGAACACUGAGGUGUGGAGCAAAACUGUGUUGAAUGAACUGUAGAUGGAAAUUCUCUCCUUCCCACCGAGGAGCCGCUGCAGGUUGCAGACUCCCAGAAUGCCACACUGAGAAGAGGAGGGCUAAAAUUCUAGAGCAGAAUCCCUGGGGCAGCCCCUGCUGAAGAAGGGUGCAUCUGUUGAGAAUCUCAUCACCGCCCCCACCCCGCCCAGCCUUCAAUUUAGAGGAAUUUCUAGUUCACGCAGAAUGAAGACAAGAUCACAUAAGUGAGGACGACGCCCCAUUUACAAGUGUGAUUUGGAAGACUGAAGUGGAAACCUUGGGAAGGGGCCUCAGAGUAUGUCAGCUGGGGUCAGACGGGAACAGGAGUCUGGCUCAACACACAUUUAUUGCACUCCUGUUUCAUGCCAAGAAAUGUACCAAAAUCUGGGACUGUGUAACACAGCAAAGGAAAAGACUCAUCUCCAGGAAGCCCCCUUGUCUAGGAAGAGAAAUUGAAUAUCAGCAUAAGGUGGUGAAAAGCUGUGAAGGAGAUGAGUGCCAGGAGUCCAUGGAGGAAGGAUUCUAGCCUGGACAGAUUUUAAUGGGGGAUGGGAAUAAGAAAUUCAGGGUACUGGAAACAUAAAAGGAAAAAGGAGGCCCUAAGAAGAAUCCCGAAGAAGAGAAGCUGGAGGCUGAGGGUUCAUUACUUUGUUGAGGGUGUUUCUUAUGACACCAAAUAAGACC